GCCAGUGGUGAACUCCACAUACGCAUCCUUUGCUGAGGAUACGGUUAACGGAGCGAAAGCGACGUUCAACCGCAAAAGAAGCAGAGGGGGCUUAGUGGUGGGGUGACUGCGUACCUUUUGUAUAAUGGGUCAGCGACUUAUAUUCUGUAGCAAGGUUAACCGAAUAGGGGAGCCGGAGGGAAACCGAGUCUUAACCGGGCGUUAAGUUGCAGGGUAUAGACCCGAAACCCGGUGAUCUAGCCAUGGGCAGGUUGAAGGUUGGGUAACACUAACUGGAGGACCGAACCGACUAAUGUUGAAAAAUUAGCGGAUGACCUGUGGCUGGGGGUGAAAGGCCAAUCAAACCGGGAGAUAGCUGGUUCUCCCCGAAAGCUAUUUAGGUAGCGCCUCGUGAACUCAUCUCCGGGGGUAGAGCACUGUUUCGGCUAGGGGGCCAUCCCGGCUUACCAACCCGAUGCAAACUGCGAAUACCGGAGAAUGUUAUCACGGGAGACACACGGCGGGUGCUAACGUCCGUCGUGAAGAGGGAAACAACCCAGACCGCCAGCUAAGGUCCCAAAGUCAUGGUUAAGUGGGAAACGAUGUGGGAAGGCCCAGACAGCCAGGAUGUUGGCUUAGAAGCAGCCAUCAUUUAAAGAAAGCGUAAUAGCUCACUGGUCGAGUCGGCCUGCGCGGAAGAUGUAACGGGGCUAAACCAUGCACCGAAGCUGCGGCAGCGACACUCAGGUGUUGUUGGGUAGGGGAGCGUUCUGUAAGCCUGCGAAGGUGGCCUGUGAGGGUUGCUGGAGGUAUCAGAAGUGCGAAUGCUGACAUAAGUAACGAUAAAGCGGGUGAAAAGCCCGCUCGCCGGAAGACCAAGGGUUCCUGUCCAACGUUAAUCGGGGCAGGGUGAGUCGACCCCUAAGGCGAGGCCGAAAGGCGUAGUCGAUGGGAAACGGGUUAAUAUUCCCGUACUUGGUGUUACUGCGAAGGGGGGACGGAGAAGGCUAUGUUGGCCGGGCGACGGUUGUCCCGGUUUAAGCGUGUAGGUGUGUGUUCCAGGUAAAUCCGGUUCACUUUAACACUGAGGCGUGAUGACGAGGCACUACGGUGCUGAAGCAACAAAUGCCCUGCUUCCAGGAAAAGCCUCUAAGCAUCAGGUAACAUCAAAUCGUACCCCAAACCGACACAGGUGGUCAGGUAGAGAAUACCAAGGCGCUUGAGAGAACUCGGGUGAAGGAACUAGGCAAAAUGGUGCCGUAACUUCGGGAGAAGGCACGCUGACACGUAGGUGAAGUGAUUUACUCAUGGAGCUGAAGUCAGUCGAAGAUACCAGCUGGCUGCAACUGUUUAUUAAAAACACAGCACUGUGCAAACACGAAAGUGGACGUAUACGGUGUGACGCCUGCCCGGUGCCGGAAGGUUAAUUGAUGGGGUCAGCGCAAGCGAAGCUCCUGAUCGAAGCCCCGGUAAACGGCGGCCGUAACUAUAACGGUCCUAAGGUAGCGAAAUUCCUUGUCGGGUAAGUUCCGACCUGCACGAAUGGCGUAAUGAUGGCCAGGCUGUCUCCACCCGAGACUCAGUGAAAUUGAACUCGCUGUGAAGAUGCAGUGUACCCGCGGCAAGACGGAAAGACCCCGUGAACCUUUACUAUAGCUUGACACUGAACAUUGAGCCUUGAUGUGUAGGAUAGGUGGGAGGCUUUGAAGUGUGGACGCCAGUCUGCAUGGAGCCGGCCUUGAAAUACCACCCUUUAAUGUUUGAUGUUCUAACGUGGACCCGUGAUCCGGGUUGCGGACAGUGUCUGGUGGGUAGUUUGACUGGGGCGGUCUCCUCCUAAAGAGUAACGGAGGAGCACGAAGGUUGGCUAAUCCUGGUCGGACAUCAGGAGGUUAGUGCAAUGGCAUAAGCCAGCUUGACUGCGAGCGUGACGGCGCGAGCAGGUGCGAAAGCAGGUCAUAGUGAUCCGGUGGUUCUGAAUGGAAGGGCCAUCGCUCAACGGAUAAAAGGUACUCCGGGGAUAACAGGCUGAUACCGCCCAAGAGUUCAUAUCGACGGCGGUGUUUGGCACCUCGAUGUCGGCUCAUCACAUCCUGGGGCUGAAGUAGGUCCCAAGGGUAUGGCUGUUCGCCAUUUAAAGUGGUACGCGAGCUGGGUUUAGAACGUCGUGAGACAGUUCGGUCCCUAUCUGCCGUGGGCGCUGGAGAACUGAGGGGGGCUGCUCCUAGUACGAGAGGACCGGAGUGGACGCAUCACUGGUGUUCGGGUUGUCAUGCCAAUGGCACUGCCCGGUAGCUAAAUGCGGAAGAGAUAAGUGCUGAAAGCAUCUAAGCACGAAACUUGCCCCGAGAUGAGUUCUCCCUGAGACUUUAGGUCUCCUGAAGGAACGUUGAAGACGACGACGUUGAUAGGCCGGGUGUGUAAGCGCAGCGAUGCGUUGAGCUAACCGGUACUAAUGAACCGUGAGGCUUAACCUUACAACGCCGAAG
This 2468-nucleotide ribosomal RNA is filed under the name Salmonella enterica. Its description in RNAcentral is "partial 23S ribosomal RNA". It matches the Rfam family "Bacterial large subunit ribosomal RNA". The record is from RNAcentral. Lineage: Bacteria; Pseudomonadati; Pseudomonadota; Gammaproteobacteria; Enterobacterales; Enterobacteriaceae.